GUGAAUCAUCAAAUUUUUGAACGCAAAUUGCACUCUCUUUGGAGAGUAUGCCUGUUUGAGGGUCAGUAAUAAUAAAAAUCGGUGUGUUGCUUCUUUGUGACGCUCCGGAGUUUGGGUCAUCUUAAUAUCCUUUAGGUUUUAUGCGGCUUAAAAUACACUUUUUUUGAGCAUUUUAGAUGUACAUAUAUUUUUUUUUUUAUUCUUCUGUCUUAAUGCUCUAUUUCCUGUUAUAUGCGA
RNAcentral lists this unclassified non-coding RNA (237 nucleotides) under Rhizophagus sp. (in: glomeromycetes). Its description in RNAcentral is "partial contains 5.8S ribosomal RNA and internal transcribed spacer 2". The stretch from base 1 to 65 matches the Rfam family "5.8S ribosomal RNA", at positions 84 to 154 of the family's 154-position model. The record is from RNAcentral. Lineage: Eukaryota; Fungi; Glomeromycota; Glomeromycetes; Glomerales; Glomeraceae.